UCAAAUCUCAAGCCUUGCUUGGUAUUGGGUUUUCGUCUCCCCUUGCCUUUGUUACGAGUGGUGACGUGCCUGAAAAUCAAUGGCGGUGCCUCAAAAGACUCCAAGCGUAGCAGACUGACUCUCGCUUUAGAGAACUUUUGUAGGUCCUGUCAAUAAAAUAACAA
RNAcentral lists this unclassified non-coding RNA (164 nucleotides) under Geoglossum inflatum. RNAcentral describes it as "partial internal transcribed spacer 2". Lineage: Eukaryota; Fungi; Ascomycota; Geoglossomycetes; Geoglossales; Geoglossaceae. The record is from RNAcentral.